Lolium rigidum is the source of this 815-nucleotide long non-coding RNA. RefSeq lists it as uncharacterized. The transcript has 4 exons. Lineage: Eukaryota; Viridiplantae; Streptophyta; Magnoliopsida; Poales; Poaceae. The record is from RefSeq and is a predicted model, not a curated record.
GACAACCGGACAUUGUAUUUUUUCUCACUCAGCUCAUAUGUCAUCUAAUGUUUAUUAAGUUUCAUUUGAUUGUUCCAAUUUUGGUUAAUGGCUUACUGUAUAUUGAAGGAUAAUUUUUCUCACCUUUGCUGCAUACAACAUCAGUAUUUAAAAAAAACAAUCGUCCACCUGCAAUAUUUAGGAUUUAUUUAGCAUAGACCAGUUGUAGCAUUGCAAUCUUUUUAACAAUAUUUAGGUGGUAACUUGGGUUGAGGAUUUUGGUUUAGGCUGAUGCGGAGACAACAAAGUGUACGUGCAGAUGACGCUGCGGCCACGGAACCUGGAUUUCACAUAGAAGCCUCCUUCUCAGGAGCUAAUUGCACAGGAUAUCCGUGCUUAAUUCUCUUUGCUUCCUGUUGGGGUGUUGCGCUUUUACUCCCAAAGUACCGAGCUGGGUGAUGAAGCACUUAAGGCACCAGAACCAUUAAAGAGCACUUGGGAGAUAUCUGCAAACAAAUGUAAGAGCCACGAACAACAUUAAAAGAAGUCUGAACUGAAUACAAGAAUUGAGGGAAGAAAGGGUUAUAUAGUGCUAAGGGAAAAUUAAUCAAGAGCGAAAUUCUAGCUAGAGGGCACCUUUGCUGGAGGAAAGGAGGAGGAAAGAAUCUGGACGAUGGUACACGAUGCAGAGCAUAUAAUAUAGGCGGUGUAUAAGAAGCUAAAUUGAUCCAACUUUAUGCUGCUCCUUGUGAGGAUUGAUGGUGAUGUUUCGAUGUGGUGAUUCUCGCUGGGUAUUAUUGAUUCUAUCAUUCAAGAAAUCAAGGUAGUCACUUGUC